UCCUGUGGCAAAAUCACCAUAAAUGCACUCGAUUUUGUCAAAUCUCAGAAGCAAAGCGGCGUUAAGCCUGGCUAGUACUUGGAUGGGUGACCAUUAUAGCUUGCCAAAUGUUGGAGGCA
This 119-nucleotide ribosomal RNA is filed under the name Petromyzon marinus (sea lamprey). The record is from RNAcentral. Lineage: Eukaryota; Metazoa; Chordata; Hyperoartia; Petromyzontiformes; Petromyzontidae.